AUGUUAAUUUUCCUUUGGGUCUUUGGUGCAUGAAUAAUGUGUUGUCUUUUGUUAUGAAUAAGCACAUACUUGUACAUUUCAUUUAUUUUUUUUCCCUUGUCUCAUUUAUUUGCUAUUAAUGGCAUUAGUUAUUUCUUCCUUCAAGCAUAUACGACACAAACAAUAUGCUCACCUAGCAAAGUUGUUGGUUCCACCUCAGGUGUUUGAUUGUAUUUGUGAUAUUUCCUCUCGUUAUAAUCACUUAUUUUGAUUUAGACAUUGGAGAAAAAAUCACAUUUCUUGAUAGGCUUUGUAUUGGGAUUGGUAUUUCCACGGUAAGAUUGGGUGAUGGCAAGAAUUGACAAUGAUCCAACUAUUAUAAAGGGUUAUUUACAAGAAAUAAAUUGCAGUAAAUCCUUAAUUAUAAGGGGUAGGGACAAUUUCUGACGAAUAGGAUACGCCCCUAUUUUUUUUAUAUAUAGAUAAGAAAAAAAACUUAAGAGCUCAUACGCACGAGGGUAACUCCUAAGUAGUCAUCGUUUACAAUAGACUCUAACUGCGGACUAACACAAGUGUCGAUACAUAGGCUGGGCAAGAAGAUGUCCUACAUUUGAUAUCCAAUAUGCCGCUCUAUUUGCUUCUUUAAACAUGCUGAAUACGAACGCUAUGGAAGUGCUGAAAAAGUAAUAUUAUAUCCUUAAUAAUAUUUUGUAGCUUCUAUAAUGUUUUCCAAACAUUUUUAAAUGUAUUUAUGACAAGGAUACGCCCCUAUUAUAAAGCUAUAAACUUCUACAGUUUUAAACUACACUCUCUUAGUAUUGUAUUGAUAAUAAAUUUCUUGAUUUUAGGUUAUUUUGGUGGCUUAAUUAUUCUUAGGGUUACAGGGUUACAUACUUACAUGAUGUUAUAUCUCUAGCCCUUUACUGCCAUGUGAAACAAACUAUUACACGUACACCUAAAGUAAUUUUACUUAUAAAAAAACAAUAAUAGUUCAUCCGGUUUUGUAUUUGCACAAUUUGAGUUAGUUUGUGCAGUUAGGAUAUGAUAAUUGAAAGAAGUACCCUGAGAUUGGGACAAAAUUUAGAUAAAUUAUAAAUAUCAAAAUUAUCCAAAUGAUAACAAACAAAUAAAUUGAGGAAAACGGAUUAGGUAACAUUAGUAAAUGUGAAAUUUAUUAAGGGUAAAGUGGUUAUUUAACAUGUGAACACAAUAAAAAGAAAUGGUCAACUAAAGAUGCAAUUUUCAUAAAAGAAAAAUAGUGUAAGUUAAAAAACGGAGAAAGUAAGAUUAUUUUACUGAAAUUAAGUUAAUUUUCGACUUAGUUUUGACAUUAUUUAAUAGUUUAAAUUACAUUAUCAACAUAACUAAGCUUUUUAUUUCGGAAGGAAAAUGCAACAUUUACAUAGAACAACACUAGGAAACAAUUAAGCAAUAUCCGAAUUGCCCGUUUGAGGUCGCUGCAAUAUGUUCAGAGGUGUAUAGGAUAGCUUUAGAUAUGGAAAAUGUAAUAGUUAGGAAGAGCCCUAGGGAUAAUAUCAGAAGAGCCCAUGACUUAGCGGUGGAAGCCAGAAAGAAUGGGCCGUAGGAGUUUCUUGUUGUUUUGGUCUUUUCUUUGUUUUUCUUUGCUUGUUUGUAUCUACUGUCAAAAAAAAAAAAAAAAACUAGGAAACAAGGUAUUGAGUCAAAUGAAAAGAUAAGAAGCAUCAAUUAUACAUUAUCUUUGUAUGAUUUAACAUUUCCACAAUUACAAAACGGAGGUCAUCGCAAGGCUACAAAGUACAAAGGUUAGAAUUUGACGGUGGUCGAUGAGUGCCAAUAAUUUUCUGCAAGUAUCUUCCUAACCGCACACGUGUAACAAAUUUUACGGUUGACAAGUUUCUUUCCCAAAAAAGAAUCCGCUUUGAGCCGUUUAUUUCCACUGGGCCGGACAUGUCACAAAGGUGGGCCCAAUAAGGAUUAUAGCCCAUUGGUUAGGGCUGGCGUACAUAUGACUACGUUUAGUGGAAGUCCAAUCCUAACACAUAUAAAGGCUUGAACUCUCAUUACUAUUCAUUUUAUCGAAUUUUUAAGUUUUCUGUGACAUUUGAAUUCUAGAAUUUGUAACCUGAACUUUUAAAUUUGGAUUAUAGUUUUAAUUUUGAUUAAUUCAGAUCAUGAUAUGCUAUAAAAUCCCGACCUUUCUAUAGUAAGAUGCUUUGUAAUAUGGGAUCAAUAAGGUAGGUUAGGUUAUUCUAGAGGAAUUAUAGGUGUGGUAUGCAAUAUUUGCGUGUUUGGCGAGCUUACAUAUCAUUCCAGUAAGAAAGUAAUGCAAUUCUUGGUGUUUAGGAAGUUAUGUAAUGCCAUAGAAAGAGUUAAGCAAUUUUAAAUUUUCAAAGUAGAAAUGCAAUAGUACAGGAACUUGAAUUCAAAGUUGAUACUGCAGAAAACAAACGGACAAUCUGAACAAGUUUGUAUAGCUUGCAGCAGGUAGAUCAAACACACAAUGUAAAUUAAAAUCAAUACGUAAAUUCUGAAGUUACAACGAUAGAAGAAACUGAUUUCAUGAUUGCAAGAAAAUGAGUUUCAAGAAAUACAAUACAAUUUGACAUUUAGAAACCGAUAAAACUACAAUUUACUAGGCACCUCCACCUCAUUAUGGUCGUGUGGUAGGUCUGGGGUGUUUGCAAAUUGCAAUGGCCAAUGGGAGAGAAACCUACUGCUGGAAAGACUUGUUGUCUAAAGAAACUAGCAUCUGUUGCACCACGGAUGAUAUCCGGGUUUUCAAGUUUCUCACCAGCAUUCUAUUCUGAAGAGCUUCUUCUAAGAGAAACCACCAUGGAUUCGAACUAUCAGCAAUGAAACUCAAUUUGUAGUCAGGGUUUGAUUUUGAUUUUGAUUUUCCGAUUUCGUUCCAUGAGUGAGAGAAUAUCAGAGAGGAGAUGAGGUAUCGGUAUCGGUAUCGUGGUGGUAUCCAGAUGGUGGUAUCCAGAUGGUGAUAAGACUGUUCGAAGCGGGUAUAGUCCGGCAACUUGUGCUUAUGCAUUUGGUUCAUCGAGAAAUAGCAAGAAGACAUACCUGCUGAAGGAGUGAAAGGAAAGUUGCAAGCACUCUGUGGUAUCUACGCGCGUUUGAUCCUGGGGAAGCAUCUUGGUGAUUUCCCGUCCACUGCCUGCAUCAAACCUAAGUAGGUUUUGGCUGGGUUCUUCAGAUGUAAGCUUUUGACUGUGUUCUUGAGAUGUAAGCUUUUGAUUGUUCUUGAGAUGUAUGCCUAUGUUGUGGCGUCUGCCUUGCAUGGUGUAAAGAACAUCGAUCUUGUAAAAGGAUUUCAUGAUUCAGGUUUAGUUAAUCGAUUCAACCUUUUUUUCAACUAUCCUGAUGUUGAUAACUUUUAUCUAAAGCUUGACUAUAUUUCCCCCAUGUUUUUCUCACUUACACACUAAUUGCUUUGAGAAAUAAUAGUACGUGUUAGGGUGUUACUGUAAGUUCAUAUAAUAUCUCAAUGAAGGCCCGAAGCUUGAGUUUUAUGUUAUAUGUUAAAAUGCUACUCACCAGUCUGCAUUAUGUCACUGACAAGGGCAGUUGGGUAUUCAACCAAACUUUCAGUGAAUCUGAAGCCCCUGCACCAACCCAAGAACCAAGGCAAGCUCUUACACCAUUGCAAGAACCUAAGAAAACAGCAAAGAAAGCAAUAACACCUAAGCAAACAACAUCGAAGAAAUGUGCCAAGACUGCACCUUCAUCUAAGAAAGGUCCCGUUCCAAAAAAGGGAAAGAAGACCAGUUCAAUUUCUGCUCUAGUUCCACAGUCACGGCAAAUUCAGUCUUCACAAGCAUCCACUUCUGUGGCAAUGUCGUCUCAUGUUACAGAUUCAGGAAGUUAGAUGCUAGUUUUAGGGUGCUUUUAGAUGUUUGAUUUUGGUUAUAAACAACUACAUCAGUUUAUGUAACGCAAAUAGCCUUUGGACUAUGUUUUUUGUGAUCAAUGGAAAGUGUUUUCCUUUUGACUAAAAUUCCUGCUUCUGUUGCUGCAAUA
Long non-coding RNA from Spinacia oleracea (spinach), 3990 nucleotides. RefSeq lists it as uncharacterized. The record is from RefSeq and is a predicted model, not a curated record. Lineage: Eukaryota; Viridiplantae; Streptophyta; Magnoliopsida; Caryophyllales; Amaranthaceae. The transcript has 4 exons.